GAUGAACGCUGGCGGUAUGCUUAACACAUGCAAGUCGAACGGACUCUUCGGAGUUAGUGGCGGACGGGUGAGUAACGCGUGAGAAUCUGGCUUUGGGUUCGGGACAACCACUGGAAACGGUGGCUAAUACCGGAUGUGCCGAGAGGUAAAAGAGAAAUUGCCUGAAGAUGAGCUCGCGUCUGAUUAGCUAGUUGGUGAGGUAAAGGCUCACCAAGGCAGCGAUCAGUAGCUGGUCUGAGAGGAUGACCAGCCACACUGGGACUAAGACACGGCCCAGACUCCUACGGGAGGCAGCAGUGGGGAAUUUUCCGCAAUGGGCGAAAGCCUGACGGAGCAAUACCGCGUGAGGGAAGAAGGCUCUUGGGGUGUAAACCUCUUUUCUUAGGGAAGAACAAAAUGACGGUACCUAAGGAAUCAGCAUCGGCUAACUCCGUG
This 435-nucleotide ribosomal RNA is filed under the name uncultured bacterium. RNAcentral's name for it is "partial 16S ribosomal RNA". It matches the Rfam family "Bacterial small subunit ribosomal RNA", at positions 28 to 507 of the family's 1533-position model. The record is from RNAcentral.